This is a long non-coding RNA of Mirounga angustirostris (Northern elephant seal), 602 nucleotides long. RefSeq lists it as uncharacterized. The record is from RefSeq and is a predicted model, not a curated record. NCBI's taxonomy places the organism in Eukaryota, Metazoa, Chordata, Mammalia, Carnivora, Phocidae. The transcript has 3 exons.
CAAGAAAGCACACAAUUCAGGAUCGGGGGAGAGAGAGAAUCUCAAUCUCUGACAUGGGGCUUGAUCUCACAACCCUGAGAUCAUGACCUGAGCUGAAAUCAAGAGUUGGAUUCGUAACUGACUAAGCCACCCAGGCACCCCAUAGCAAGCUGAAUGAACUGAGAGGAAAAUUGGUACUGAGGAGUGGAUUGCUGCUAUAACAAAUACUUAAACAUGUGGAAGCAGCUACGGAACUGGGUAAUGGAAUUGGAGGCUGGAAGAGCUCUGAGGUGCAUGCUGGAAAAGCUUAGAUUGCCAUGAACAGAAUCUUAAAGGCUCACAUUUGGAGAGGAAUUUGCCUCAGGAUGAAUCAUCCCUCAAGUCUCACCUGUAUCUAAUUUAGAUGAUAGCUAGAGGAGACUUUGGACUUAGACUUUCGAAUUGACACUGGGAUAUGUUAAGACUUUGGUGACUGUUGGGAUGGUAUUCUAUUACAGCAGCCUGAAUAGACUAACAUAGCCACUGUUUUCCCUAUUUUUUUUGUUUAGAAGAACAGUUAUUUUUCAUAAACUGCAUUAUUUAUAUUAACAUGUAAUUAGCUUAUUAGUGUUACUUUUAGUGAA